Molecule: ribosomal RNA, 468 nt
Filed under: uncultured bacterium
Lineage: Bacteria
Description: partial 16S ribosomal RNA
Rfam family: Bacterial small subunit ribosomal RNA
Source: RNAcentral
GACGAACGCUGGCGGCGUGCUUAACACAUGCAAGUCGAACGGAAAGGCCCUGCUUUUGUGGGGUGCUCGAGUGGCGAACGGGUGAGUAACACGUGAGUAACCUGCCCUUGACUUUGGGAUAACUUCAGGAAACUGGGGCUAAUACCGGAUAGGAGCUCCUGCUGCAUGGUGGGGGUUGGAAAGUUUCGGCGGUUGGGGAUGGACUCGCGGCUUAUCAGCUUGUUGGUGGGGUAGUGGCUUACCAAGGCUUUGACGGGUAGCCGGCCUGAGAGGGUGACCGGCCACAUUGGGACUGAGAUACGGCCCAGACUCCUACGGGAGGCAGCAGGGGGGAAUAUUGCACAAUGGGCGGAAGCCUGAUGCAGCAACGCCGCGUGCGGGAUGACGGCCUUCGGGUUGUAAACCGCCUUCGCCUGUGACGAAGCGUGAGUGACGGUAAUGGGUAAAGAAGCACCGGCUAACUACGUG